CCUGUCAGCCCCCUGUCCCCCCAAAACAGGACUUCUGUCUUGUCAGGAUUCAACCUCAAUCUGUUAGCCAUCAUCCAUCCUCCAACCGCCUCCAAGCACUCACACAGGACCUUCACCGCCUUCACUGGUUCUGAUUUAAAGGAGAGGUAGAGCUGGGUGCCAUCUGCAUACUGAUGAACACCCAGCCCAAACCCCCUGAUGAUCUCUCCCAGCGGCUUCAUAUAGAUAUUAAAAAGCAUGGGGGAGAGGACGGAACCCUGAGGCACCCCACAAGUGAGAGCCCAGGGGUCUGAACACUCAUCCCCCAACACCACUUUCUGGACACGGCCCAGGAGAAAGGAGCGGAACCACCCUCUAGCCCGUGUCCGGUCUGAUUCGGAGUGAGUUUUCCGCCACCGGCGCUCUAGCCGUCUCAAUGAUUCACCCUCAACUCUGGGGAAAACCACGGGGCUGUCCAGGCUCCAUGCAAUUGGAGAGGGCGCUUCGGAGCCAGACAGUCAAUAGCACUGGUUAACUCCGCAUUCCAACGGGCCACCAGGGAAUCAGCCGAGAGGCCAUCAACUUGGGAUAAAACAUCCCCUACCACUCUCUGGAAACUAGUUGGAUCCAUUAAGUAGCGGGGGCGGACCAUCCGAAUCGGUCCCACCUCCCUGCAGAGGGGAAGGGUCACGGAGAAGUCCAGUUGCACUAGGAAGUGAUCUGACCAUGGCACUUCUUUUGUUUCGCUUUUAGUUAGUGUCAGAUCACCAACAUCCAUAGAGGUAAACACCAAGUCUAAGGCCAAGGGGAACCCAAGAGGGAUCUGGUUCUGCCUACUCACCUGGGAACGCUGGUCCAGAGUCCGCAAGGCUCUUCUUUUCUGAGGGCCGCUGCUGGCUUGGGUCUUGCUUGCUGGUCUGGGGCUUCAUCAGCCCUGGCAAGACUAGGGGCCUGGCCUCUGCCGGUCUGGCCUCUGCCGCUGAUGGUGUAGGCUUUGCCAAUGCCGGCAGUAGGGCAGGGGCCUCGUCCUCAUAUGAGGGGUAGAUCUUGUUUUUGGGUGCAACUUGAUUUUUCCUCCUGCCCUCUGUGGCUGAUGUUGAAGGCUUCGCCAAUGCCGGCAGUAGGGCAGGGGCCUCAUCCUCGUAUGAGGGGUAGAUCUUGUUUUUCUUUUUUCUUUUUAGAAAAAAAGCCAUCCUGCAAGAUGCAAAAAGAUUAGGAAUUAUUGGGAAAUUAUAUAUAAUGAAUUGAAAAAACUGUUUAAAAAGACUUUUGUUAAGAAACCAGAAGCAUUCCUUCUAGGAAUUUUAGACCAAGAUGUAAAAAAAGAAAAUUGGAAAUUAUUUAUGUAUGCAACAACAGCGGCAAGAAUUUUAUUAGCACAAACUUGGAAGACAGAAGAAAUACCAACGAAAGAACAAUGGCAAGGGAAACUUAUGGAAUAUGCAGAACCGGCAAAACUAACAGAAUAAUUACAUGAAAAGGACAACAAAGACUUUAAAAGAGAAUGGGAACCAUUUACAACAUAUAUGAAGAGGCAACAUAAAGAAAUGGACUCAUUGGCAGGGUUUGAGUGAACAAUCACAACUGUCUACAACAAAAAAAUAAGACUAUAUGUAUUGAGGAAAUUUUGGGGAAACAUCAAAUACGCAAGGUGAACAAUAGGGAAAUAAAACAAAAUGUGAGUACGAGGGAAGUCCAGGAGAGGAGGGUCGAAAUAUGAAAAAUUGUUAAAGAUAUAUUGUUAGAAGUAGAAUCCAUAGAAAAAUCAAUAAAAAAUUAUUUCAAAAAAUAAACAGAAUCUCUGGAUAAGAAAUUGUCAUUUUUAGGUAAUCUAUUAAGACUGGAAUAUGAUAUUUCAGUUUUGAUUGCUGGAAAUUUAGCAAUUGGGAAAUAUUAUCCUGGAUAUUGACAGAAUCUGGGAAUGAUUCAAAGUAUUUGGUAUUGUAUUUUUAUUUGUAAACAUUGAAAUGAGGAAGUCUUUUUACUCAGAGUGAGAAGGAUGACCAAAUAUUUGACAGACCUGGAAAUAGCAAGCUCAUGUAGAUCAAAGGGGGGAGGAAGUGGAUUCCGCAGAAGAAUAUUGUAAAAUUUGUGGAGGAAAAUGAUCUGACAUGAUCUACUAUUCCAGCCUGGUUAUCUCUUCCUAAUUCUGGGUGCUGUGUUUUAUUAUCUUCAAUAUCUCUUGUGAAAAGGUCUUUUAAUGUACGGUCAGUAAAAGCCUGGAUGUAAGGCC
Podarcis raffonei (Aeolian wall lizard) is the source of this 2212-nucleotide long non-coding RNA. RefSeq lists it as uncharacterized. The record is from RefSeq and is a predicted model, not a curated record. NCBI's taxonomy places the organism in Eukaryota, Metazoa, Chordata, Lepidosauria, Squamata, Lacertidae. The transcript is spliced from 2 exons.